GACGAACGCUGGCGGCGUGCCUAAUACAUGCAAGUUGAGCGAUGAAGAUUGGUGCUUGCACCAAUUUGAAGAGCAGCGAACGGGUGAGUAACGCGUGGGGAAUCUACCUUUGAGCGGGGGACAACAUUUGGAAACGAAUGCUAAUACCGCAUAACAACUUUAAACAUAAGUUUUAAGUUUGAAAGAUGCAAUUGCAUCACUCAAAGAUGAUCCCGCGUUGUAUUAGCUAGUUGGUGAGGUAAAGGCUCACCAAGGCGAUGAUACAUAGCCGACCUGAGAGGGUGAUCGGCCACAUUGGGACUGAGACACGGCCCAAACUCCUACGGGAGGCAGCAGUAGGGAAUCUUCGGCAAUGGACGAAAGUCUGACCGAGCAACGCCGCGUGAGUGAAGAAGGGUUUCGGAUCGUAAAACUCUGUUGGUAGAGAAGAACGUUGGUGAGAGUGGAAAGCUCAUCAAGUGACGGUAACUACCCAGAAAGGGACGGCUAACUACGUG
Molecule: ribosomal RNA, 497 nt
Filed under: uncultured bacterium
Lineage: Bacteria
Description: partial 16S ribosomal RNA
Rfam family: Bacterial small subunit ribosomal RNA
Source: RNAcentral